Molecule: long non-coding RNA, 296 nt
Filed under: Mytilus galloprovincialis (Mediterranean mussel)
Lineage: Eukaryota; Metazoa; Mollusca; Bivalvia; Mytilida; Mytilidae
Source: RNAcentral
CAAGUUUUAUCUGGAUAUGAACAGCAAUAAAGGAGAAAAUUAAGAAUUAUUAAUUUUAUUUCUUCGAACUUCCUGACUUAUGUGACGUAGUUUAAGUCUUUAAGCAUGCCGGGAGUGAAAAUAAUCUCAUUUUAAAUCUUAAUCGUUAAUCAUCUUAUAACGCUAUUUAAAGCGCAUCGACGACGUUUGGUGUAGCUAUUAACCAACUAAUAAUUAAGAUGGAACAGCGCUCAGCUUGAAAUUAGAAUGUACGAUUUAUAUUUUAAUAUUUUCUGAAAUGAUUAUAGUGAUACAAG